CUGCUGCCUCCCGUAGGAGUCUGGGCCGUGUCUCAGUCCCAAUGUGGCCGUUCACCCUCUCAGGCCGGCUACUGAUCGUUGCCUUGGUAGGCCAUUACCCCACCAACUAGCUAAUCAGACGCGGAACCAUCGUAUACCACCAGAGUUUUUCACACCGCUUCAUGCGAAGCUGUGCGCUUAUGCGGUAUUAGCACCUAUUUCUAAGUGUUAUCCCCCAGUAUACGGCAGGUUUUCCACGCGUUACUCACCCGUCCG
This 255-nucleotide ribosomal RNA is filed under the name uncultured bacterium. Its description in RNAcentral is "partial 16S ribosomal RNA". The record is from RNAcentral.